Molecule: ribosomal RNA, 413 nt
Filed under: uncultured bacterium
Lineage: Bacteria
Description: bacterial SSU rRNA
Rfam family: Bacterial small subunit ribosomal RNA
Source: RNAcentral
UGGGGAAUAUUGGACAAUGGGCGCAAGCCUGAUCCAGCCAUGCCGCGUGAGUGAUGAAGGCCUUAGGGUUGUAAAGCUCUUCACCGGUGAAGAUAAUGACGGUAACCGGAGAAGAAGCCCCGGCUAACUUCGUGCCAGCAGCCGCGGUAAUACGAAGGGGGCUAGCGUUGUUCGGAAUUACUGGGCGUAAAGCGCACGUAGGCGGAUAUUUAAGUCAGGGUGAAAUCCCAGAGCUCAACUCUGGAACUGCCUUUGAUACUGGGUAUCUUGAGUAUGGAAGAGGUAAGUGGAAUUGCGAGUGUAGAGGUGAAAUUCGUAGAUAUUCGCAGGAACACCAGUGGCGAAGGCGGCUUACUGGUCCAUUACUGACGCUGAGGUGCGAAAGCGUGGGGAGCAAACAGGAUUAGAUACCC